CAUCGUGCUCCGGGGUCGGUGAAAUUCCGAACCGGCGGUCACAGCCCGCGAACCGCUCUCGCAGGCAGGUGAAACUCACAUGAUUCCACGCCCCACAGUCGGGGAUAAGAAUCCGCUGGAGGCACCCGCCCGCAAGAGAGGCCGAACCGGUGAAAAUCCGGUGCCGACAGUACAGUCUGGAUGGAAGGUAGCACGAGC
This 198-nucleotide non-coding RNA is filed under the name Rothia mucilaginosa. RNAcentral describes it as "FMN sequence". It matches the Rfam family "FMN riboswitch aptamer (RFN element)". From Rfam's summary of the family: The RFN element is a highly conserved domain that is found frequently in the 5'-untranslated regions of prokaryotic mRNAs that encode for flavin mononucleotide (FMN) biosynthesis and transport proteins. This element is a metabolite-dependent riboswitch that directly binds FMN in the absence of proteins. RNAcentral also lists the same sequence under 1 other name. The record is from RNAcentral. Lineage: Bacteria; Bacillati; Actinomycetota; Actinomycetes; Micrococcales; Micrococcaceae.